Molecule: ribosomal RNA, 205 nt
Filed under: Clostridioides difficile
Lineage: Bacteria; Bacillati; Bacillota; Clostridia; Peptostreptococcales; Peptostreptococcaceae
Description: partial 23S ribosomal RNA
Rfam family: Bacterial large subunit ribosomal RNA
Source: RNAcentral
CUGGGAUGUGAUGGGGAGCGAAAUUUAGUAGCGAAGUAGCUGAUUUCACACUGUCAAGAAAAGUCUCUAUCGAGGUUAAAGGUACCCGUACCGCAAACCGACGCAGGUGGGUGAGGAGAGUAUCCUAAGGCCAGCGAGAGAACUGUUGUUAAGGAACUCGGCAAAAUGACCCCGUAACUUAGGGAUAAGGGGUGCCACCAUCAGG